Molecule: ribosomal RNA, 253 nt
Filed under: uncultured bacterium
Lineage: Bacteria
Description: partial 16S ribosomal RNA
Rfam family: Bacterial small subunit ribosomal RNA
Source: RNAcentral
GACGUAGGGCGCGAGCGUUGUCCGGAUUUAUUGGGCGUAAAGAGCUCGUAGGCGGCUUGUCGCGUCGAAUGUGAAAACUCGGGGCUCAACUCCGAGCUUGCAUUCGAUACGGGCAGGCUAGAGUUCGGUAGGGGAGACUGGAAUUCCUGGUGUAGCGGUGAAAUGCGCAGAUAUCAGGAGGAACACCGAUGGCGAAGGCAGGUCUCUGGGCCGAUACUGACGCUGAGGAGCGAAAGCGUGGGGAGCGAACAGG